Molecule: ribosomal RNA, 657 nt
Filed under: Amanita cinereoradicata
Lineage: Eukaryota; Fungi; Basidiomycota; Agaricomycetes; Agaricales; Amanitaceae
Description: eukaryotic LSU rRNA
Rfam family: Eukaryotic large subunit ribosomal RNA
Source: RNAcentral
GCGGGAAAAGCUCAAAUUUAAAAUCUGGCGGUGUUUUGCUGUCCGAGUUGUAAACUACAGAAGUGCAACCUGUGCUGGACCGUGUACAAGUCUUCUGGAAUGGAGCGUCACAGAGGGUGAGAAUCCCGUCUUUGACAUGGAACUACCAGUGCAUUGUGGUUGUGCGCUCAACGAGUCGAGUUGUUUGGGAAUGCAGCUCUAAAUGGGUGGUAAAUUCCAUCUAAAGCUAAAUAUUGGCGAGAGACCGAUAGCGAACAAGUACCGUGAGGGAAAGAUGAAAAGAACUUUGGAAAGAGAGUUAAACAGUAUGUGAAAUUGUUGAAAGGGAAACGUUUGAAGUCAGUCAUGUUGGCUGGGGAUCAGUUCAGUUAAUCUGCUGAGCGUAAUUCCUGGUUGACGGGCCAACAUCAGUUUUGACUGCCAGAGAAAGGCCAAGGGAAUGUGGCACCUCGGGGUGUGUUAUAGCUCUUGGUUGUAUGUGGUAGUUGGGACUGAGGAAAGCAGCGUGCCGCAAGGCUGGGUUUCGACCACAUUUGCGCUUAGGAUGUUGGCAAUAAUGGCUUUAAGCGACCCGUCUUGAAACACGGACCAAGGAGUCUAACAUGCAUGCGAGUGUUUGGGUGGAAACCCUGACGCAUAUGAAAGUGAAGUUGAGAC